RNAcentral lists this long non-coding RNA (632 nucleotides) under Homo sapiens (human). Its description in RNAcentral is "HSALNT0200587". The record is from RNAcentral. Lineage: Eukaryota; Metazoa; Chordata; Mammalia; Primates; Hominidae.
GGAAUACAUCCUGCUAAGUUUGCUCAAAUCCUCACAAGAGACCCUCAAGUAAAUGCUUUUGCCAUUUUUAUUGGCUCUUUAGGUGAUCAAGCAACCAGGCUUCAGAGAACUUUACCAGCUGGUCGGUCUUUCGUUGCCAUGGAUACCAAGGAUAUCCCUCAGAUUUUACAACAGAUCUUCACCUCCACCAUGUUGUCGAGUGUCUAAGAAGUGCCCUUCAUCACCCUGAUGACACCAGGAUUUGAAAUAAGACAGGAAUAAAGAGUAUUCUGAAAAAAAGAAGAUAUGGAUGAAGUGAACCCAUGCAGUGACUGGAUGAUUCCGGCAUUCCUGGGUCUUCCUACACUUGCUCCGUAAUGAGAAUUCAGAGAAGCAGCCAGAAGGAGACUUAAACAUGGAAAGAUACUCCACUGAUGAGUUUAGAAGUGAUUAGGGCAAGCUAGUUGACCUGCACUUUAUCAAAGGUUGGGGUUAAAGGAAGGUGGUUUUGAGAACUAUGUGUUUGGUCUAUUUCCAAAAACCUGAGGGGGAGAAAAUACUUUGCUUUUGCCUUAACACAUCAUCUGGUCACGUUAGAAAAGUGACCCCAUCAAACUGAGCCUUUGAUGUCACAUUCUGACACAAGAUGCAAG